Molecule: ribosomal RNA, 492 nt
Filed under: uncultured bacterium
Lineage: Bacteria
Description: partial 16S ribosomal RNA
Rfam family: Bacterial small subunit ribosomal RNA
Source: RNAcentral
AGUGAACGCUGGCGGUAGGCCUAACACAUGCAAGUCGAACGGCAGCACAGUAAGAGCUUGCUCUUACGGGUGGCGAGUGGCGGACGGGUGAGGAAUACAUCGGAAUCUACUUUUUCGUGGGGGAUAACGUAGGGAAACUUACGCUAAUACCGCAUACGACCUACGGGUGAAAGCAGGGGAUCUUCGGACCUUGCGCGAUUGAAUGAGCCGAUGUCGGAUUAGCUAGUUGGCGGGGUAAAGGCCCACCAAGGCGACGAUCCGUAGCUGGUCUGAGAGGCUGAUCAGCCACACUGGAACGGGAACACGGUCCAGACGCCUACGGGAGGCAGCAGUGGGGAAUAUUGGACAAUGGGCGCAAGCCUGAUCCAGCCAUACCGCGUGGGUGAAGAAGGCCUUCGGGUUGUAAAGCCCUUUUGUUGGGAAAGAAAAGCAGCAGGUUAAUACCCCGCUGUUCUGACGGUACCCAAAGAAUAAGCACCGGCUAACUUCGUG